AUUGAACGCUGGCGGCAGGCCUAACACAUGCAAGUCGAACGAGUGGCGGACGGGUGAGUAAUGUCUGGGAAAAUGCCUGAUGGAGGGGGAUAACUACUGGACACGGUAGCUAAUAACGCAUACCAGCGGAUGUGCCCAGAUGGGAUUAGCUAGUGGGUGGGGUAAAGGCUCACAUAGGCGACGAUCCCUAGCUGGUCUGAGAGGAUGACCAGCCACACUGGAACUGAGACACGGUCCAGACUCCUACGGGAGGCAGCAGUGGGGAAUAUUGCACAAUGGGCGCAAGCCUGAUGCAGCCAUGCCGCGUGUAUGAAGAAGGCCUUCGGGUUGUAAAGUACUUUCAGCGGGGAGGCGUUACCCGCAGAAGAAGCACCGGCUAACUCCGUGCCAGCAGCCGCGGUAAUUC
Molecule: ribosomal RNA, 406 nt
Filed under: uncultured bacterium
Lineage: Bacteria
Description: partial 16S ribosomal RNA
Rfam family: Bacterial small subunit ribosomal RNA
Source: RNAcentral